GUGGGGAAUCUUCCGCAAUGGACGAAAGUCUGACGGAGCAACGCCGCGUGAGUGAUGAAGGUCUUCGGAUUGUAAAGCUCUGUUAAUCGGGACGAAAGAGCCGAGUGUGAAUAAUGCUAGGAAGUGACGGUACCGGAAUAGAAAGCCACGGCUAACUACGUGCCAGCAGCCGCGGUAAUACGUAGGUGGCAAGCGUUGUCCGGAAUUAUUGGGCGUAAAGCGCGCGCAGGCGGAUCUGCCAGUCUGUCUUAAAAGUUCGGGGCUUAACCCCGUGAUUGGAUGGAAACUACAGAUCUAGAGUAUCGGAGAGGAAAGUGGAAUUCCUAGUGUAGCGGUGAAAUGCGUAGAUAUUAGGAAGAACACCAGUGGCGAAGGCGACUUUCUGGACGAAAACUGACGCUGAGGCGCGAAAGCCAGGGGAGCGAACGGGAUUAGAAACCCUGGUAGUCC
This 450-nucleotide ribosomal RNA is filed under the name uncultured bacterium. Its description in RNAcentral is "partial 16S ribosomal RNA". It matches the Rfam family "Bacterial small subunit ribosomal RNA", at positions 354 to 796 of the family's 1533-position model. The record is from RNAcentral.